AGUGAACGCUGGCGGUAGGCCUAACACAUGCAAGUCGAACGGCAGCACAGUAAGAGCUUGCUCUUACGGGUGGCGAGUGGCGGACGGGUGAGGAAUACAUCGGAAUCUACUUUUUCGUGGGGGAUAACGUAGGGAAACUUACGCUAAUACCGCAUACGACCUACGGGUGAAAGCAGGGGAUCUUCGGACCUUUCGCGAUUGAAUGAGCCGAUGUCGGAUUAGCUAGUUGGCGGGGUAAAGGCCCACCAAGGCGACGAUCCGUAGCUGGUCUGAGAGGAUGAUCAGCCACACUGGAACUGAGACACGGUCCAGACUCCUACGGGAGGCAGCAGUGGGGAAUAUUGGACAAUGGGCGCAAGCCUGAUCCAGCCAUACCGCGUGGGUGAAGAAGGCCUUCGGGUUGUAAAGCCCUUUUGUUGGGAAAGAAAAGCAGCAGGUUAAUACCCCGCUGUUCCGACGGUACCCAAAGAAUAAGCACCGGCUAACUUCAUG
RNAcentral lists this ribosomal RNA (492 nucleotides) under uncultured bacterium. Its description in RNAcentral is "partial 16S ribosomal RNA". It matches the Rfam family "Bacterial small subunit ribosomal RNA", at positions 29 to 507 of the family's 1533-position model. The record is from RNAcentral.